Long non-coding RNA from Dendronephthya gigantea, 311 nucleotides. RefSeq lists it as uncharacterized. The record is from RefSeq and is a predicted model, not a curated record. The transcript has 3 exons. Lineage: Eukaryota; Metazoa; Cnidaria; Anthozoa; Malacalcyonacea; Nephtheidae.
GGCGUGGGAUUGAAAGCAUAAAAGCUACUGGUUGGUUUUGAUAUCAGCCAGUUUGAGCUGUAGGACUUCAGGGAUACACACCAUUUACGCGACAAGCAAGAUUGAGCUGAACGUUUAGAAAUUGAAGCUUGCAACUCAAGCACAAGAUGAGAGUUUUCGUUGGUGUAUUUUUGGUGAUCAUCUUAGCGUUAUACGCAGUGCCGGUCUUCGCUAAUAACAACGUGUGCUGGAACAAUGGUCGAGUAAUUUCAGGAACGUACAGAAAAUGCAGAUGUGCCUCGGGGUACAAAGGAUAUAACUGCGCACAAAAA